UAAAACGACUCCGGUAUGCUCCCGUUAUCCAUCUCUACAUUGCCUUCACCAACGUUGUUGUCAUUGUUAUUCUCAUUCUCCCACCCAUUUCUACACUGUUCAUCCUCGGUUCUAACACUAUUAUUGCUGUGGAUGACAGAGGAGGCUCCAAGGAUAACACAAUUAUCAAGAGUGGAUCCAAAAUCAGCUCUCCAUUUCAAUAACACACCAUCAUCUAUCCCCAGCUCACCACUAGGCAAUUCAAUUCUCAGAAACUUGAUCUCAUUGAAAUUCUUCAAAACUUGUGUAGGGGAAUGGUGGGUCACAAAUGUAUGAUCAAAAUCACCAUCAACAUCAUCCGCGGACGCAGAGGCUCCAGCAUGUCGAGAAGAAACAGAGAUGAAUUGGGAAAUGGAUUGGAAGGGUUUAAGAAGGCCAGAGAAAACAAGGCGGAAAAGGGAGGAGAUAGGAUGGCGUGACUUAUCGGAGGUAACGGCGGAAGUAACGGCGUUAGAC
Molecule: long non-coding RNA, 495 nt
Filed under: Nicotiana tabacum (common tobacco)
Lineage: Eukaryota; Viridiplantae; Streptophyta; Magnoliopsida; Solanales; Solanaceae
Description: long non-coding RNA (NTAB_LNC013203)
Source: RNAcentral